UCCUACGGGAGGCAGCAGUAGGGAAUCUUCCACAAUGGACGAAAGUCUGAUGGAGCAACGCCGCGUGAGUGAAGAAGGGUUUCGGCUCGUAAAGCUCUGUUGGUAGCGAAGAAAGAUAGAGGUAGUAACUGGCCUUUAUUUGACGGUAAUUACUUAGAAAGUCACGGCUAACUACGUGCGGCAGCCGCGGUAAUACGUAGGUGGCAAGCGUUGUCCGGAUUCAUUUGGCGUAAAGCGAGUGCAGGCGGUUCAAU
This 254-nucleotide ribosomal RNA is filed under the name uncultured bacterium. RNAcentral's name for it is "partial 16S ribosomal RNA". It matches the Rfam family "Bacterial small subunit ribosomal RNA", at positions 337 to 584 of the family's 1533-position model. The record is from RNAcentral.